This 485-nucleotide ribosomal RNA is filed under the name uncultured marine crenarchaeote. RNAcentral's name for it is "bacterial SSU rRNA". It matches the Rfam family "Archaeal small subunit ribosomal RNA", at positions 1 to 494 of the family's 1478-position model. The record is from RNAcentral. Lineage: Archaea; Thermoproteati; Thermoproteota.
UUCCGGUUGAUCCCGCCGGACCUGACUGCUAUCAGAUUGAUACUAAGCCAUGUUAGUCAUUGUAGUAAUACAAGGCAGACGGCUCAGUAACACGUAGUCAACCUAACUUAUGGACGGGAAUAACCUCGGGAAACUGAGAAUAAUACCCGAUAGGUCAUGAUGCCUGGAAUGGUUUAUGACUCAAAUGAAUGUCGCCGUAGGAUGGGACUGCGAGCUAUCAGCUUGUUGGUGAGGUAAUGGCCCACCAAGGCUAUAACAGCUACGGGCUCUGAGAGGAGUAGCCCGGAGAUGGGUACUGAGACAAGGACCCAGGCCCUAUGGGGCGCAGCAGGCGAGAAAACUUUGCAAUGCGCGAAAGCUCGACAAGGUUAAUCUGAGUGGUUCCUGCUAAAGGAACCUUUUGUUAGUCGUAGAACCACUGAUGAAUAAGGGGUGGGCAAGUUCUGGUGUCAGCGCCGCGGUUAAACCAGCACCUCAGGUGGUCA